UGGGGAAUAUUGCACAAUGGGCGCAAGCCUGAUGCAGCCAUGCCGCGUGUAUGAAGAAGGCCUUCGGGUUGUAAAGUACUUUCAGCGGGGAGGAAGGUGUUGAGGUUAAUAACCUCAGCAAUUGACGUUACCCGCAGAAGAAGCACCGGCUAACUCCGUGCCAGCAGCCGCGGUAAUACGGAGGGUGCAAGCGUUAAUCGGAAUUACUGGGCGUAAAGCGCACGCAGGCGGUCUGUCAAGUCGGAUGUGAAAUCCCCGGGCUCAACCUGGGAACUGCAUUCGAAACUGGCAGGCUAGAGUCUUGUAGAGGGGGGUAGAAUUCCAGGUGUAGCGGUGAAAUGCGUAGAGAUCUGGAGGAAUACCGGUGGCGAAGGCGGCCCCCUGGACAAAGACUGACGCGCAGGUGCGAAAGCGUGGGGAGCAAACA
Molecule: ribosomal RNA, 427 nt
Filed under: uncultured bacterium
Lineage: Bacteria
Description: partial 16S ribosomal RNA
Rfam family: Bacterial small subunit ribosomal RNA
Source: RNAcentral